UAAUCCUUCUGAAUCCCCUUCAAGAACCUAGCGUAUUAUUCAAAUUGCUCAAUAUAAUCUUCCACUAAACCUGUUUGUCUCAAGCCAAUCAGAAUUUCAAAGGGGUUUUGAAGCAUCAUUGGUUGAAACUUGGGGACAACAGCCACCUCGAAUGCCUCCCACGUAGGAUUUGGAUUGCAGGUUUCCCACCACUAAACCAAUUCAAGGCUUUCCCUUCUAAAGCAACUAUGACAGGAUGCAUUCUUUCCUCCUCACUCACUGUUUUGAAUCGAAAAUAUCUUUUAGUCUGUUAAUCCAACCAUAGGCCUCCUCUCCUGCAAAAACCGGGAUGUCCAAUUUUCUCCAUUUUGAGGAAGAUAGUGUCGUACUUUUCUCUUCCUCCCAAGGUGACCCAUUGCCUGUAUUCAUCACUGAAACAGUUUCACCCUUGUUAGCACUGCAAGACAUCGUUUCUACCACCACGAUCGGAGACUGUAUGUUUUCUUCAAGUGGUGAACUUAUCAAAAUCAAUUGAUCAGUUUCUUCAAUAGGGGACAACUUGAGCUACUUGUGCGUUUAAAAGUGCUUUAGGGGUCUUUGAGCUAUUUGGUCAUCUUUCAGAUGGUGAGUUAGGUGAUUAUAUGCCUUUAGUGAAUGGCGAUGAUGCAAUAGACUAAUUGUUUAGUUUUAGCUACCUAGUUAUAUAGAAGUUUCUUUUCGUUUGGAAAAACUUAUGUAGCUUUUCAGCGUUUGUACUUAU
This 739-nucleotide small RNA is filed under the name Vigna angularis var. angularis. Its description in RNAcentral is "Non-protein coding transcript". Lineage: Eukaryota; Viridiplantae; Streptophyta; Magnoliopsida; Fabales; Fabaceae. The record is from RNAcentral.